This 292-nucleotide ribosomal RNA is filed under the name uncultured bacterium. RNAcentral's name for it is "partial 16S ribosomal RNA". It matches the Rfam family "Bacterial small subunit ribosomal RNA", at positions 505 to 796 of the family's 1533-position model. The record is from RNAcentral.
GUUUCAGCAGCCGCGGUAAGACGUAGGGCGCGAGCGUUGUCCGGAUUUAUUGGGCGUAAAGAGCUCGUAGGCGGCUUGUCGCGUCGUUCGUGAAAACUCACAGCUCAACUGUGAGCUUGCGGUCGAUACGGGCAGGCUAGAGUUCGGUAGGGGAGACUGGAAUUCCUGGUGUAGCGGUGAAAUGCGCAGAUAUCAGGAGGAACACCGGUGGCGAAGGCGGGUCUCUGGGCCGAUACUGACGCUGAGGAGCGAAAGCGUGGGGAGCGAACAGGAUUAGAAACCCCGGUAGUCC